Molecule: long non-coding RNA, 2006 nt
Filed under: Paramuricea clavata
Lineage: Eukaryota; Metazoa; Cnidaria; Anthozoa; Malacalcyonacea; Plexauridae
Source: RNAcentral
GGGGAAUUUGUUGACGGUGGCACAGAAACACAUUUUAAACUCCACAAUAAAUACAAUGCUCAUAUCAAAGCAAUUAGUUCUGGCAGACGGAGAGAGGGAAUUAUUCACACGCUGUUUGUUGAAGACCAAGAAAUCGCAGAGACAGAUAUAGACAUCAAGGAGAAUUAGCGUCACGCUAUAGAAUUGUGUCAGCAGAAAGAAAGUGAAACUAUUUAUAACACUGAAAAAAGCAAAUGCUGCUUGAUCACAAAAUAUAGUCGAGGUUUUCACAAAUGCUUGCGUGAUGGUGAGUUAGGUGAUACAGUGUUUUGUCUGAUUACAUAUGCAUGAUAUCAAGAAUAUCCAGACCUUGAUGAGUUUUACCUAGGUAUGCACUUUUCAAUUUAUGCACUUGGGAAAUGUAUAUUUUCUAAUUUAAAACCAAUCAACCGUGCGGAAACUACUGUAAUUGUUCCUUGAACAACGUUUCGCUACGUGUUAUAGUUCGACUGCAUUUACCUCGACGCAGAAUGCAUAAUUUAGAUGCGCAUUCCGUGAAACUCCGAAACUUAUUGCUCAAUGUAGAUAUGUAUUUAAGUAGAUAAUAAUGUAUUUAAUUUCACAUACAGUGAAACCUCCAUUGAGAAAUUCCUUGGAAACGAACACCUCCGCGUUGUUUGGAGGUAUCCGCUGUCUACAGUAUAGAUGUUUACACGGGUAAAAACGCUCAGGUUGAUGUAAUAUUGAUGAAAACAGGAUUGAACAGUGCAUUGCUGCCCACAUUGUUCACAGUUGUCAACAAUAUUGAACAAUAUUGUUACACCCGACUCAGGCUCAACAAUAUUAUUCAAUAUUGUUGACAAGUGUGAACAACGUGGGCAGCAAAACAUUGUUCAAUCCUGUUAAACAGCGGGCCUGGCGUUUUUUGCCGUGUAGUGGCAGUAGCCGACGAAUGUAGUGUGCAAGAUACAAUGUUACAGUAAAAACUGGGAUAAAUUGCAUUUGCAGUUUAACAUGUACCCUGAGACUGGGAGAAUUAUAGAAUAUGCAUAUAAGAGUAUUUAUAGCUGUUUCACUCAUACAAUAGAACUGUCAUUAAAUAUUUUAUGUACUACCAUAUUUUGUAAGAAAGGUACACUCAACACUCAAGGGAAUAUAUUUUGGGUUUUUUAAAGCGAAUCAACCGGGCCAAAAAAUAAUGUGGGUUUCCGGUUUCCUCUUGUAAAAACUUAGGUAGGGUAGGUCGGUUUUAACUUUUUCUUUAAACUUUUUCAAUUUUCCUAUAACAACUUUUCCUAUAACAACAUUUUUCUACAAGCGUGAUCCAAUAAAAAGGUUUAGAGUCGGGAUUUUGGCGUCCAAAAGCUAGGUAGGGUCGGGAAACCGGAAACCCACAUAUUUUUUUUGGCCCCAUUCUUUGAGCGUCUUUUUGCAUAUUCACAUGACGAUUCAACAGUUGAAUCAAUUUGAUAUGCAUACCAGUGUAUUCUAAUUCUUCCAGUCUCAGCUACAUGUUAUAGUUCAACUGCAAUUUAUCCCGACGCAGAAUGUGUCACUUGGAUGCCAAGUUUUUAUAGUCAAGUAUUUUUCUAACUUUUAUAAUUAUGUUAACUUUACAAAUAGUUCAAUUCAAUGAAACGGCAUCUUUUUAUUUAAACAUAUAUAUUACUAACGUUUGCCCAAGAGCACUAGACUCAUCUAGGAGCUUACGUUACAUUUACUAUUACAUAUAGACCGGACAGACAUAUAGUUACAUUUACAUUAAUUUUACAAAGUUCAAGACAUAUAUAGAAACACACAUAAUAAAUUAAUUAAACAACAAAAGAUGAUAGCUAUGACGAAAUUAAAGAAAACGUUUAGAUUCCCUAAUGUAUUGUUGAACAUACUCAAAUAUCACAGUAUUGUCUUUGAGUUCUAAAUUAGAUGAACCAAACAUAAGUAUAUUCACCUGUCAUGUCAGAUAAACGACACCAGCUAUCACCAUAAACUUGUGCAGCAGCCGAGAGCAAGAUUGAUCUUAGAGCAGC